GUUCGUUCCAUAAACCAGAUUAUGAACGCUGGCGGGAUGCUUUACAUGCAAGUCGAACGGCAGCACGGACUGAUCUGGUGGCGAGUGGCGACGGUGAGUAAUGUAUCGGAACGUGCCCAGUAGCGGGGGUCUUCAAAGCGUAGCUAAUACCACAUACGCCCUUCGGAGGAAAGCGGGGGACCUUCGGGCUCGCACUAUUGAAACGGCCGAUAUCAGUUGGCCAGUUGGUGGGAACUGGCUCGCCAGGCGGCGAUCUGCGUAGCUGGUUUGAGGGGACGACCAGCCACGCUGGGACUGGACAGACUCUACGGGAGGCAGCAGUGGGGAAUUUUGGACAAUGGGGAAACCCUGAUCCAGCCAUCCCGCGUGUGCGAUGAAGGCCUUCGGGUUGUAAAGCACUUUUUUGGCAGGAAAAACAGCUGCGGGAUAAUACCCGAUACAGCGCUGGCGACUUCUGCAGAAUAAGCACUGGCUAACUGCGUGCCAGCAGCCGCAUUAUUACGUAGGGUGCAAGCGAUUAAUCGGAAUUACUGGGCGUAAAGCGUGCAUAUGGUGGUUCGGAAAGAAGAUGUGAAAUCCCAGAGCUUAACUUUGGAACUGCAUUUUUAACUACAGAGCUAAAGUGUGUCAGAGGAGGUGGAAUUCAUGUAUGUAGCAGUGAAAUGCGUAGAUAUGCGGAGGAACACCGAUAGCGAAGGCAGCCUCCUGGGAUAACACUGACGCUCAUGCACAGCGUGUAAGGAGCAAACGGGAUUAGAUACCCUGGUAAGUCCCGCCUAAACGAUGUCAACUAGCUGUUGGGGCCUUCGGGCCUUGGUAGCGCAACUAACGCGUGAAGUUGACCGCCUGGGGAGAGCGUACGGUCGCAAGAUUAAAACUCAAAGGAAUUGACGGGGACCCGCACAAGCGGUGGAUGAUGUGGAUUAAUUCGCGGUAACGCGAAAAAAAUACCUACCCUUGACAUGUCUGGAAUCCCGAAGAGAUUUGGGAGUGCUCGCAAGAGAACCGGAACACAAGGUGCUGUGGCUGUCGUCAGCUCGUGUCGUGAGAUGUUGGGUUAAGUCCCGCAACAGGCGCAAUAUGUCAUUAGUUGCUACGAGGAGCAUCUAAUGAGACUGCCGGUGACAAACCGGAGGAAGGUGGGGAUGACGUCAAGUCCUCAUGGCCCUUAUGGGUAGGGCUUCACACGUCAUACAAUGGUCGGGACAGAGGGUCGCCAACCCGAGAGAGCCAAUCCCAGAAACCCGAUCGUAGUCCGGAUCGCGAUCGCUCGACUGCGUGAAGUCCGGAAUCGCUGUAGUAAUCGCGGAUCGGCAUGUCGCGGUGAAUACGUUCCCGGGUCUUGUACACACCGCCCGUCACACCACGCCGGUGGGUUUUACCAGAAGUAGUUAGCCUAACCGUAAGAGGCGAUUACCACGGUAAGUUGUGACUGGGGUGAAGUCGUAACAAGGCCAG
This 1458-nucleotide ribosomal RNA is filed under the name uncultured Bordetella sp. RNAcentral describes it as "partial 16S-23S ribosomal RNA intergenic spacer". It matches the Rfam family "Bacterial small subunit ribosomal RNA". The record is from RNAcentral. Lineage: Bacteria; Pseudomonadati; Pseudomonadota; Betaproteobacteria; Burkholderiales; Alcaligenaceae.